AACUGACUUUCAUUCAUUAUUCCCUGCUCUAGAAUGUUGGCAAGAGGCGAUGAGAUAUUUGGUGCGCUUCCAAACAGGUUCUAGCGUUGAAACGACGGACGAUGACAAGAAGAGAAAGAGAAAGAGAAUCUCAAAUUCCAAGUACAGACCCCAGGCCUCUUCUGAUGAAGAGGAGUCUAGUCUUCCAGAUGCACCAGCAGUGCUGUCGUUUGGGCAACCUCUUUUGAGCUUUGAAAACAUUGUUCCUGGUAACAAGGUUUCAGUGCUGCCCGAUGCUCCAGAAGUUGCAUCGAUUCCAGAAAACCAGGAAAAUGUUGUGCCAUCUGUAGACUUCAGAGGUGAACCAGGUUUCUCCCCAGAAAUUCAGACUCCACUUCACAGAGCCAAGAGUUUGAGUACAAGACACUUGACUGGUUACUCGCCGCAGCAGUUUCUGGAUGAAAGGUGUCGAGCUCGUCAAGUACUAAGCUUUACACCCCCAGCAGCAAAUUUACCCUGGCAGCAUAUGGGUGAAAACGCUGGAGGAGAAAGUCAUCGCUCUGUAAUUGGCCCUUGGACUCCCCUGGCAUCUCGUGUACAGCAUGAAGUUUUCAGCUAUGAAGAUUUCCAGAGACUCCAGAAUGAAAAACAAGCCGUGAACCAAGCUCUGAGGGAGGAGAACCAAGCUCUGAGGGAAAGCACUGCACGAGCAGCUUCGGAUGACAGCGGCUCACUUCAAGAGCAGGUGAAGCAAGUUGGGACAAUGUUGAAGACGUUUGCUCGCACUGGGCAAUCAGGUGCAGAUCAGACCUUAAUGCUGCGACGUCUUGGAGAGUUUGGCGAUGUUGUGCGUAGCAUGGACAACAAAAUGGACACUAUGCUGCAACAUUUCAGUGCCAAUGGAAGAUUUGGUGUUGCUUGACAACAGUUUGAGGCAGGAUAAAGAGCUCCAGGAACGAUUUCUUCGGUUUUUGGCAAUCAAAUGUGGGAGGGACCUAAAGACAACCGUCUGGCGGAUGCUUCAAAGUAUCUUCUCUAAUCACCUUUCCAUCAAUACAACCUGGACUGGAGUUGGGGAUAAAGCAUGUUUUAGAGACAUGUUCCUGAAGACCAUUGUUCAAAGUAAGUUGGAUGUAAAAAAAAAAAAAAAAAAAAAAAAAUAUGUUUAGUAGAUGUGUAUGGCAUUAUGCCAUUCAAAUGGAAUGACAGAUCUGUAUUUUCUACAGGAGCCAUCCGGAAGAACCCGGCAACACAGGAUGCCACUGAUGAAGCCAUCCAGGUUAACGUUACGCGUUACCUGAAAGGAGCAUCUGACCGUGAAGGCGGAAAAAGGCGCCGCACAGCUGAGAGGGACCCACAGCCGACCCCUUAAACCUAGGCUGACUACUGACAUCCCAGCAUCACUGACAACUGGAACCCUUUCUUUAUCCUGCAGUCAGUAACAUCAAGACCCCUAAAGAAGCCAGAAGUGUCAGACUGCACUCCCCAAUCCACACUGUUCACUGUGGAUAUUAUCAUAGUGCUUAACUUAUUAUAUUGUUAAAUAUAGCUUGUAAAUCCUUGUGCCACAGGUCAGCAUUGCAGUUAUAUCUGUUCUACUACUUUUUUUACCUCAGUAUUUUUUAUAUAUAUUUGAAGAUGUUUAUCACAGAUACAAGAGACAUCUUGUACCCCAGGUCAGCAAUGCCAUUAUAAUGGUCUAUUCUACUCCAGAGCUUUAUUCUAAAUUAUUACCACUUAUCUUAUUGUUAGAAAUGGCUUGUAAAUGUGAUGUUAUACCUGAAUUUUUUUUGGUGUCCUGCACAUUCUUUGGUACCAGAUAUACUCAUUACUUAUGUUUUCUGGUAAUUCUUUUCAUGCCAGAGCUGACCUCUUUAUAUUAUUAACAAUUAUUGUAAGUGUUAUAAUUUGCUUGUAAGCUAAGGCUGUUUUUUUUUUUUUUUUACAAUUUAAUUGGAAACCUGCAUGUGUGUGUGUGUGUGUGUGUGUGUGUGUGUGUAUUUAUUUUAUUUUUUUCUCUUUUUUUCUGUUAUUUAUAUUUCAGGGAUCUGACAUCAUGUUUCAAUGACAGUUACUGUACUUUGAAAUGUGGAAUUAAAACGUCAAAUGGAAAUUUGUCUGGUUUGAUCAAUCAUUAUUCUUGAUAAACUGCAUUAUAUAUAUAAUAUAUAAUAUAUAUAUAAAUAAAUAAAUAAGCAAGCGGCGACCGAUCGCUCGAAAAUAGCGUUUGCCUCCGACGGGCCGCGGAAGGGUCGCCUUUGAUAUAACGGCGGCGGGACGGCGGUUGGCCCGCGGGCCGGCCGCGGAACGAAGGCGGUAGGAAGGCGGCUGCCGCUUCUAAAAAGCGGCUGCCGCCGGCGGUGCACCGUCAAACGUGUUUGCGAUUACGCUAUUCUGACGCUUCUACUGCCGCCGGAGCGCCGCCGGCGGUCCGCCGACUCAUUGCUAUCUGGGAUGUCACAGAACUCUUCCCGCGCUCUCCGUCAGAAUUCAAACAUUAACGGUCGAACUUGGCGGCUGUUCGCUUUCUUAUGUGUGAUUAUUUUCAUAUAACGUUUUGGGCACUUCCAUUUUAACAAAUAAAGUGAAAGUACCACAAAACAUGAAACGAAGAUGUCUUGGACGAGGAGAGCUCGUCCAAAUUUGUGGUAAGAAAUAAUAUCCUUUUAUUAUCAUAGUUAAGCUUAAUCGCGUUUGUGAACGUUACGUAAUUUGGAGCAAUUUAUUUAAUGAAAGUAGGUGUAUUCUGGUCGUCAUCGUGGACAUUGUGUCUCCACCAUUAUGCUUUUCAUCACUUAAAGGUCUUCAGGAUGUAAUUUUGAUUAAAUUUGGGCUUUGUCUGAUUCAAGGUAAUGUUAUACCCUCACUAAUCGCGAUGCGCUGUAUAAAUCCCCUUCAGACAUAGUAAACGGAU
Carassius auratus (goldfish) is the source of this 2893-nucleotide long non-coding RNA. Lineage: Eukaryota; Metazoa; Chordata; Actinopteri; Cypriniformes; Cyprinidae. The record is from Ensembl.